AAAGCUUUAAGUUAAAUUAAAACUAUUAACCUUCAAAGUUAAAUAUAUAUUAGAUAUAAGCUUUA
Molecule: transfer RNA, 65 nt
Filed under: Adrisa magna
Lineage: Eukaryota; Metazoa; Arthropoda; Insecta; Hemiptera; Cydnidae
Description: tRNA-Trp
Source: RNAcentral